GGUGACGCUCAUCGAUGGCUGUGUCCGGCGGGAUGGGCACGGCUGAGAGGAGCUCUUCGCCGCGCCGGAUCUGUCCGUCCAUGUGUAGGCGCCGCCGUCCUGAUCCCCUUGCUAGAACUUUCAGGUGAAGAAGAGGAGGAACCUGCAUGGGGCGUGCUCCUUUAGGGUUCAGACAUUUUUUACAAUACUGAGAGCAUUAUCUCGUAAUAAUGUUUUUACAUCUUUUCAUAUCCAGUGACUGAGCAGGCUAUUGCUGCUGGAGAUAUAUGUGCUAUAUGCCAAGAGAAGAUGCAUGGCCCCAUUCUUUUGCGCUGUAAAUAUGUCUUCUGCAAAGAUUGUGUCUCUAAAUGAUGAUGGCAGGUUUGAGAGGGAGCAUACUUGCCCGUUGUGUGAUCUGUCCAUUCUAACUGGGUUUGCCUCGUAAAAUGCAUUGGGUAAGUAAAUUCGAAAAAGCUGGGUACUAGCUCGUGCACAUCAUACUACUAGAUUUUUUAACACUUGUGGAGGUUGAGUUG
This is a long non-coding RNA of Lolium rigidum, 515 nucleotides long. RefSeq lists it as uncharacterized. The record is from RefSeq and is a predicted model, not a curated record. Lineage: Eukaryota; Viridiplantae; Streptophyta; Magnoliopsida; Poales; Poaceae. The transcript has 5 exons.